UUUUUUUUUUUUUGUAAAUAAUUUAACUUUUGAGAUCCACAUUUUAUUUUGUUCAUACUGUGCGGAGUAAGAGUUUCUCAUUCUCUUUGGUGUUAGGUUAACCGUUGUCACAGCAAGCAAUAUAAAAACACAAAAUCAUGAGAGACCUCUCUUAAGUUGCAUUUUGGCAUGGGAGAGGGGAAGGAAGACCAGAACUUAUAUUUGGAAGAAAAUGGCAUGAUAGCAAAUUUAUAUAUGGAAUGAUUCUGCAUUGUUUGAUAGAAUUGAAACUUUUACUAAUUCAAUAAUUAGUAAUAGUGUAAUGGUAGAGUGUUUUGCAUCUAUUAGCUCUCCAGCAGAUAGAUAAUAAAGCACGACAGAUGGAGAGCCAGGAUCUGUGAAAAAUGCCUGGAGUAAUUUGUAGUAAUAUUGAGGCUUUAAAUUGAUAGUGAUACUCAUUAUGAGCCAUAACAACUUUCUUUCUUUGAAAAUUCACUCUAUGAAUUUUAGUUUUUUAGAAAGAGCAAGUAAAAUUACUCUUUUAGGUUUUGACUAUAAACAGUUAAUUUAUUUGAUUAAAAAUUAAAAAGCUCAAGUACUGCAGCCCUGUUUGAACCCAGCCACUUUUAUCACCAUCCAGGAGGCAGUCCCCAGAGGUGGAGCAAAGCUUUGAGAAUUUGAAAGCAUUCUUUGUGCUAUCUCAGAAACACAGACAUUGCAAGAGAUGGAAAUAUCCCUUUCUACUCAUCCUCAAGGUUAUUUAUAUUUCUACAUUAGUGUGUUAUUCACUAACGUUAUAAUUAUCAUCCUUUGGCUUAAUAAAAAUGCAACCUUGUUUUCAGCAAAAUCCUAUCAUUUCUCUCCAUUCUUCACAAUCGGGCAGACUGUUCAUUUGAUCAGGUCCCUGGGUGUUAAGAAGAUCUAAGUUUAACAAAAUGAAAGUAAAUCUCAGAAUUACCUCUUAAGCGUGCAGAGUCGGUCCUUUUUUUCUCAUCAUAGAUAUUCAAAAUUAUGAAAAAGGUAAGUAAAAGAAAAAUGUUUAAGUGAAUGCUUAUUUUUUUUGAAGGGUAAAGGAGUUGUUUUUGUAAAGUGGCAGUAAUGAGAGGAAAGGUUGACUUUACCAGAGAAUAUGUGGGCAACUGUCCUAUUCUUCUAAUCCCUGUGAGAAAGAGAUCAAGUUCCUGCCUUUAUUUCAGAGUUAGAAGAGGGAAAUGGUUAGUGCUGAAUUUCACCAUGAGCCAUUGUCCCUCUUCUGUGAUGGUUUGAAAUCUCCUUUGUCUUGCUAGAUGCAUGUAUACAAUUGUGCAUUUUGUUUUUUGUUAUUUUAUUGCACUCUUCAAAGUUAUUUAUCCACAUAAUUAAUUCAAAAGUAAGAAAAAUAAUGGGUGUAGCAAAAGUCAUUAUCAAAAGCAAGUGCUCAAGUAUACUAUCAAUUGACCAGUGAACAUCCUUUGCUACUGAUGCAAGUUAACAGGUACUUCGUCUGACCCUCAAAGACCCCAAAGCAAUGCCACCAACUUGCAGAUAAGAAGUAGAAGUUACUAUCGCUUUCAGGAAUUUAUAGUCUUGUAUAGCAUGGAUAGUCUGUUAGUGGGACCACCGCUUUAACACAGGGUUGUUUCUUGUCUCACAGCUGAGGGUGUUUGCUCUGUUUCUUUAUUUGGUGAUUGAUACAACCUUGAAGAAAUGCAAUGGCUUGACUGUCCUUCAUUAUGACCAAAUUCUGCAACAGUUGAGAUAGUCUUUCCACCUUUACACUCUGUGUAAUUCUGAUUCCCUGCCUCAAACAUGGCUCCCCUCCUUGAUCUUUAGAUUCACAUUUCCCAACUGGAUUCUGUCACUAUAGUCUCUUCCCUUUGGGGCCCUUACCCCUUGGAAGCUUUAGAAAGCCUAAAAACAAUACAAAACAGAACAACAACAACAACAAUAAAAACAAGCCUCACUUACCACUAUCUCUUCUUAGCAACCAGUUUUCUUUUUAAACUAAUCAUUUAUAAAUGCAUUAUAAAUGCAAUAGAAUAGUUACAUUUUUCUUCAAUAUAGCCGUAGUUUCAAAUUCCUUCAGUCUUUUUAAUAGUUUAAUACUUGCACAUAUGAUCCCUUUAUUAUUGAUUGUUUCCACAUUUCAGCAUUGUACAUACUCUACAAUAAAAUUUUCAUACAUUUGUCUUUUUUAUUAUGCUGAAUAAUUUAUUUCAAAUUUUUAAUUGUACAUCAAGGUUUGUGGGAAUUUUUAUAAUUUUGGUAGGCAUUGUAAUCCUUUCCCUUGUAUUUAAUAAUGCAUAAAUAUCAUUAAAAAUAAAAUAGUACAUAGUUUAUUGCGGAAAACAAUAUUGCCAUAUUCAGUCUUAUUUUCUAGAUGUAUUAAUUUGUAAACAUUGUGCUUUAAAAUAUAAGCAGUUCCUCUGUUUUUAACUAAAUAUAUUUAUACAGUGAACUUUCAAUUUGCUAUUUACUAUUUUAUAUAAUCAAGUACUUCUGUCAAAGGUGAAGAUUUUUCUUAGUGAUACAGUCCUCACCUAUCCUUUCAAUAUUAAGUAAUUCCUCUAAUUUUGUUAGAGUUUUAAAUAAAAAUUAUGUGAAAAUCAAUACAUUAUUCUUCCCCCUUUAAAUUAUAUUUCAUGGGCUCCUACUACAUAGAAUAAACAUAUUAACCACCCUCCUCCUAUUUUUUUUCUUUCUUUCUUUCUCCCUCUCUCUCUAAUUCUUUCAAACUUAACUAUAAAAAUUUUACAUUACUAAGUUGGCAAUAUUUUAAUUUUAGCUUAGUAAUAUUAAUUGUAACAUCAGCUAUAUCCAAGCUUUGUCCAGAAGCUUACUCUACUCAUUGAAAAAUAAUUAACAAAUAUUCGCUAAAAUUUAUAUGUGUAUAUUUUCACUGUAAAAUCACGUAAUGUACUAGGAUUACACUUUCCCUACGGAUUAGUGUGAUUACACUUUCUCUACGGAUCAGUGUAACUUUUCUUACAUACAAUCUCUUUUGAAAAGCAUGAUGUAGUACAUUUAGAGAUAUGUAUACACACACACACACAUUUUUUUUUUCUUUGUAGGUUGUCUGAUUAGUUCAUCAAAUUCUGUAGUUCUUUGCGUAUACCUCUGUUGCUAAGAGAAAAAUCACACUAUUGUCUUAACAACUUCCACUUUUACUUCUUACUAUGUAAUGAUGUAGUUCAUCCCACUUUAAAGAAUUACAUCUGCUAUUUCUUCUCUGAAGAUGAUACAGAAACAUCAUUUGAAAUUUAAGGAUAAACAUGAAAGCCAGUUAGUCUUUUGGGAAAAUAUAAGAGCUUCUAAUUCCCUAUUGCUGAAGGAUAGUAAAAGAUAAGAAUUAGGGCCAGACUUUAUUAUAAGGCCGACAGGACUAAGAAUGUCAAAUUUUCAACCCUUCCAAAUCUGCUACUCCAGGAUCAAAGCCAUGGUUUGGAAAGAAUGAAGCACAGAGAUUUGAGAAACAGGCACUCUUGAGUCCUGCACAGAAAAAUCUUGAUUUUCCAGAAUUCUCUGAAUUACUUGGGCCCUAACUAGUAUAUCAUGCCUCCUUUUGAAAGUCUAGUACUCUUUUAUUGAAAAUGAUUCAAAGAACUUCCAAAAUGACAUUGCCUCUACUCACUAUCUAUGUUAACCUUCUGUUCUUCUCAUCAGAUGCAAAACUAGGGCUAGUCACAAAAUAUCCUAGCAGGAAAAAUGUUAUACACAUUAAUAGAAGAGAACUCUACCCAUAAUGUGCUAGGAGAGAAUUAUGAAUUAGAUCUUGAAGUGCUGGAUCAAGAGAGGUAAAACAAUGUCUGCUAACAAAGAGUUUACCUGUAUGUGAACUUACUCCCCAAAUACAGGAUUUAACACCCUGACGAGGAACUGCCGUCAGGAUGGCUCUGAAAACCUUGGAUAAUGUGGUGGGACGUACUAGGGAAGUAGAAAUUACAGAGUGAUUAUGAAAGAUGAUAGAAAGAAGAACUAAAAGGAUCCAAAAUUUGGACAUGUUAGAGUAUGGAAAACUACCUGCCCACUGUUUUGUGGAAGGCCUUGAAACACACUGCUUAUCAAAGUGAUAAAAAUUGUGAUGGGUAAAACCACAUCAGCAUCAAAGAAGCCUAGAAUCAUUUACUUGGGUAACCAUUUACUGGGCAGAGGUGAAUAUCAUGAUAUUUCCAGGACAGUUAGAUUCAAAUUAUGGUCAUGAUCACUAUAGGAGUAGGAUCAGGUAAUAAAUAAAUUCCUAGACCUCUAGAUUAAGUAUUUUCCUUUCCCACUUUCUGAAAAUGCAUAUUCUUGGUAGUUAACAGGGUUUUCUAGCCCCUAACCCCUACUAGUGUAAUACACACACACACACACACACUGUUGGCAGUCUUGAGGCUUAAGGCAGUAUGGAGGCAGAAUUACUUCUUCUGAGAACCUCUGUCUUUUCUCUUAAGAUUGUUGACGGAUUGGAUGAGGCCCACCUACGUUAUGAGUGGUAACCUGCUUUUCUCAAAGUUUAUUGAUUCAAAUAUUAAUCACAUCUGAAAAUAUACUUUCACAGCAACAUCUAGAUUGGCGUUUCACCACACAACUGGGCACCACAUCAUAGCUAAGUUGACAUAGUAUGAAAUUAACAUCACAUCAAAUAAAGAUCAGAGGUGGAAUGUUUUGGAAGUUAUACUUCCAUGGACGAAUCAUAGUAUGUAAAUCUGACUUUAUCACCAAUAAUGAUUACAAUAUUACUAAUAUUUUUGAGUAUAGUCAUUUUGUAUAGCUUAUAUUUUAUCUUCACAUGCACUCCAUGAAGUUAGUAUCAUUAUGCUCAAUCUCAAGAAAAGAAAUUUGAACUGUAGAGAAUGUAGCAGACUUACUAACGUUAACUCAUCUGGUACAUGGAGCUGGACUUUAAGCCUGUACUGUUCAAUGCAGUAAGCACUAGCCAUGCACAGAUGUUGAGCACAAAAAAUGUAGUCAAAAUAGUAAAAAGAAACAGUAUUAAUUUUAAUAACACAUUCUAUUUGCCCUAAGAAAUUCAGAAUAUUAUUUUACCACAUAAAAUAACUAAUGAGAUAUUUCAUUUUUUACCUAUCUUCAAAAUGCAGAGUAUACUUAGCAUGAAGAAAAAAUAGUGAAAUAUCUCAUUAAUCAUUUUGUAUUGAUUAUUUUUUUUUCUGUUCCUUUUUAAACUUAGCUACUGGGAAAUUAUUUAUGUGGCUUUCAGUAUUUUUCUAGGGAAUAGCACUAAGCUGUUCAGAGCUGUUCAGUGCAGACUCUGAGCACUUAAGUUUCCUAAGAGGUAUUUCCUUCUCACACCGAUGUCUUUUUAUUUGUAAAGUGUGGUUCAUUAUCAUUUUAAUGCAGUGAGCAUGUAAAACUUAACCAGAUUAGUUUAUCAUCUAAUAUAGGCCAAGACUAUUAUUUUUGCACCACAGAAGGGAGUAAAGGUGUUCUUUGCUCUGCUCCAGAUGUAAACAGAAAUGGAGACACUUAGUUUUGUUUUUUGUUUUUUGUUUUGGCUUUUUGUCUUUUCUAGAGCUGCUCCCACAGCUUAUGGAGGUACCCAGACUAGGGGUCUAAACCGAUCUGUAGCCACAGGCCUACUCCAGAGCCACAGCAACACGAGAUCUGAGCUGCGUCUGCGACCUACACCACAGCUCACACAGCAACACCAGAUUCUUAAACCACUGAGCGAGGCCAGGGAUCGAACCCCGCACCCUUGUGGUUCUUAGUCAGAUUCGUUAACCACUGAGCCAUGACGGGAAC
This 5700-nucleotide long non-coding RNA is filed under the name Sus scrofa (pig). Its description in RNAcentral is "lncRNA (ENSSSCG00030006059.1)". Lineage: Eukaryota; Metazoa; Chordata; Mammalia; Artiodactyla; Suidae. The record is from RNAcentral.